This is a regulatory RNA element of Chlorocebus sabaeus (green monkey), 224 nucleotides long. It matches the Rfam family "Mason-Pfizer monkey virus packaging signal". Rfam says of the family: The packaging signal is located in the 5' UTR and is required for specific RNA encapsidation. The record is from Rfam. NCBI's taxonomy places the organism in Eukaryota, Metazoa, Chordata, Mammalia, Primates, Cercopithecidae.
UGGCGCCUCAACGUGGGGCCUGGAAACGAGGGAUUCCGUGAGGAAGAGGACGCGAAAGAACGGUCGACCGUCGUCAAGGUGAAACUAAACUCCUCCGAUCACCGCGGGAACCUGCUGCGUCAGAAUCGAAGGUAAGUGACGCAUCCGAAAUGGGACAAGAAUUAAGNNNNNNNNNNUUGAGAGUUUUUAGCAUGAAGGGCUGUUGAAUUUUGUUGAAGGCCUUU